RNAcentral lists this ribosomal RNA (59 nucleotides) under uncultured organism. RNAcentral's name for it is "partial 16S ribosomal RNA". The record is from RNAcentral.
AGGAUUUGACAUGGAAGAGACGUGUCCAGAAAUGGGCAUUCCCGCAAGGGCUAUGGCAC